This 64-nucleotide transfer RNA is filed under the name Eysarcoris rosaceus. RNAcentral's name for it is "tRNA-Arg". The record is from RNAcentral. Lineage: Eukaryota; Metazoa; Arthropoda; Insecta; Hemiptera; Pentatomidae.
AGAUAAUGAAGUAAUAAUUACAGUUAAUUUCGACCUAACCUUAGGAAUAUAAUUCCCUUAUCUA